CCUACGGGGGGCUGCAGUGGGGAAUAUUGGACAAUGGGCGAAAGCCUGAUCCAGUCAUGCCGCGUGUGUGAAGAAGGCCUUCGGGUUGUAAAGCACUUUCAGUGGGGAAGAAAGCCUUGGGGCUAAUACCCUCGAGGAAGGACAUCACCCACAGAAGAAGCACCGGCUAACUCCGUGCCAGCAGCCGCGGUAAUACGGAGGGUGCGAGCGUUAAUCGGAAUUACUGGGCGUAAAGCGCGCGUAGGCGGUCUGAUAAGCCGGUUGUGAAAGCCCCGGGCUCAACCUGGGAACGGCAUCCGGAACUGUCAGGCUAGAGUGCAGGAGAGGAAGGUAGAAUUCCCGGUGUAGCGGUGAAAUGCGUAGAGAUCGGGAGGAAUACCAGUGGCGAAGGCGGCCUUCUGGACUGACACUGACGCUGAGGUGCGAAAGCGUGGGUAGCAAACAGGAUUAGAUACCCUAGUAGUC
This 465-nucleotide ribosomal RNA is filed under the name Vreelandella stevensii. Its description in RNAcentral is "partial 16S ribosomal RNA". It matches the Rfam family "Bacterial small subunit ribosomal RNA", at positions 338 to 795 of the family's 1533-position model. The record is from RNAcentral. Lineage: Bacteria; Pseudomonadati; Pseudomonadota; Gammaproteobacteria; Oceanospirillales; Halomonadaceae.